UGGCGACCGGCGCACGGGUGAGUAACGCGUAUCCAACCUGUCCUUUACUAUGGGACAGCCCGUCGAAAGGCGGAUUAAUACCGUAUGUUGUCAUGUUGAUGCAUAUUUUCAUGACCAAAGGCUUCGGCCGGUAAAGGAUGGGGAUGCGUCUGAUUAGCUUGCCGGCGGGGUAACGGCCCACCGGGGCGACGAUCAGUAGGGGUUCUGAGAGGAAGGUCCCCCACAUUGGAACUGAGACACGGUCCAAACUCCUACGGGAGGCAGCAG
RNAcentral lists this ribosomal RNA (267 nucleotides) under uncultured bacterium. RNAcentral's name for it is "partial 16S ribosomal RNA". It matches the Rfam family "Bacterial small subunit ribosomal RNA", at positions 89 to 354 of the family's 1533-position model. The record is from RNAcentral.